This 193-nucleotide non-coding RNA is filed under the name Fukomys damarensis (Damara mole-rat). RNAcentral's name for it is "Connexin-43 internal ribosome entry site (IRES)". It matches the Rfam family "Connexin-43 internal ribosome entry site (IRES)". From Rfam's summary of the family: This family represents the connexin-43 internal ribosome entry site (IRES) which allows cap independent translation during conditions such as heat shock and stress. Lineage: Eukaryota; Metazoa; Chordata; Mammalia; Rodentia; Bathyergidae. The record is from Rfam by way of RNAcentral.
AGCUUUUACCCAGUGUGAGCAAUUUUAUUUCAUUAGGGAAAGGAGUGAGGAAGGUACCAGAUAGCAGUAGUCUUUAAAAUAGAUUUGACUUUUGACUUUUGAACUUUUUCAUUUUAUUUCAUCCUCCAAGCUGUGCAGUCACUUGGCUUGCUAACUUUAUUUCUUUUAAGUGGAAGAACAGCAACUGGGUAGG